CCAGUUCGUGAGGAAGGUAUAUGUAGUUAAUAGCGUGCAGUAUUUGACGUUAGCGACAGAAAGAAGCACCGGCUUAACUCCCGUGCAGGCAGCCGCGGUAUUACGGAGGGUGCGAGCGGUUAAUUCGAAUUACUGGGCGUAAAGCGCAUGCAGGUGGUUUGUUAAGUCAGAUGUGAAAGCCCGGGGCUCAACCUUGGAAUAGCAUUGGAACUGGCAGGCUAGAGUUUGUAGAGGGGGGGUAGAAUUUCAGGUGUAGCGGUGAAAUGCGUAGAGAUUGAAGGAAUACCGGUGGCGAAGGCGGCCCCCUGGACAGAUACUGACACUCAGAUGCGAAAGCGUGGGGAGCAAACAGGAUUAGAUACCCUGGUAGUUCACGCCGUAAACGAUGUUUACUUGGAGGUUGGUGCCUUGAACCGUGGCUUUUGGAGCUAACGCGUUAAGUAGACCGCCUGGGGAGUACGGUUGCAAGAUUAAAACUCAAAUGAAUUGACGGGGGCCCGCACAAGCGGUGGAGCAUGUGGUUUAAUUUGAUGCAACGCGAAGAACCUUACCUACUUUUGACAUCCAGAGAACUUUCCAGAGAUGGAUUGGUGCCUUUGGGAACUUUGAGACAGGUGCUGCAUGGCUGUUGUCAGCUUGUGUUGUGAAAUGUUGGGUUAAGUCCCGCAACGAGCGCAACCCUUAUCCUUGUUUGCCAGCCAGUAAUGGUGGGAACUCCAGGGAGACUGCCGGUGAUAAACCGGAGGAAGGUGGGGACGACGUCAAGUCAUCAUGGCCCUUACGAGUAGGGCUACACACGUGCUACAAUGGCGCAUACAGAGGGCGGCCAACUUGCGAGAGUGAGCGAAUCCCAAAAAGUGCGUCGUAGUCCGGAUCGGAGUCUGCAACUCGACUCCGUGAAGUCGGAAUCGCUAGUAAUCGUGGAUCAGAAUGCCACGGUGAAUACGUUCCCGGGCCUUGUACACACCGCCCGUCACACCAUGGGAGUGGGCUGCACAAAGAAGUAGGUAGUUUAACCUUCGGGAGGACGCUACCACUUUUGGUAA
This 1046-nucleotide ribosomal RNA is filed under the name Vibrio sp. RNAcentral's name for it is "bacterial SSU rRNA". It matches the Rfam family "Bacterial small subunit ribosomal RNA", at positions 432 to 1467 of the family's 1533-position model. Lineage: Bacteria; Pseudomonadati; Pseudomonadota; Gammaproteobacteria; Vibrionales; Vibrionaceae. The record is from RNAcentral.